RNAcentral lists this long non-coding RNA (20030 nucleotides) under Solanum tuberosum (potato). RNAcentral describes it as "long non-coding RNA (STUB_LNC008746)". Lineage: Eukaryota; Viridiplantae; Streptophyta; Magnoliopsida; Solanales; Solanaceae. The record is from RNAcentral.
AUUUUUCUUGUAUGUAUAUGUUGCCAAUACAUACACAAUAACGCCUAUUAAUAUUAAAAAUAUAGGCAAACAAUCCAGUGCACAAAGCCUAACAAACUGGACAAUAUAGAUACGUAACUAUAUCAAGAACUAAAUGAAGUAGUGGCUAUAACGGAGCUAUUGAUCAAAAUCUGCAAGAAAUAUCAAUAAAAACCAAAACAUGUCGGAUAUCGGUAUUCUUUCAGGAGUAUAUACAUAGAUGAACCAUAUAAAAUCUACCACUAGCAAAACCAAUUUGGUAUAUGUUGUUUAUAGACAUAGGAGCAUAUUUUUAUAAACCAUGAAUGCUUUUUAUUAGAAUUCUCAUAUAACAAAGCUUUAUUAAAGCUCUCGAUAUAAUCCCAAUAAUUAAAUCUGACCGCAAUUUUUUGCUCUGGAUGGGUAUAUUCCCUUUCCUUCAUUUGUGAUUAUUCCCCAUUCUUCUGGGGUGAAUAUCUUUUUUAUAAUGAAUUUUGAAAAGUUAUAAACCUUUUUAGUAUUGGCUGGGUAAAAGUGCUAGAAUUCAGCAGACUCAAUGGAUGAGAGUAUUAUCUCAUAAUGCAUUCUGUACUUAUAAGUUGGGACAGCAAAUGAUGUUGUAUCAAAAUAUCUGGUCAUAAUCUGACAUGGAUCGUCUUUCCAUUGUAAAUCUAUUGGCUCAAGAAGAAGUAUUACUUCAUCUUUUUCAUUUUUAUCAAAUACUUCAAUAUUUUCAUUUCCUUCGUCAGCAACGGCUGAAGAAUAAGAUGGUGGGUUAUUACCCUGAACUUGUCUGGAUUGUAUAAAAUUCAUGAAUUCCUUGUACAUCGGAUGUUCAGUAUUAAUUUCUGAUGUCCCUGUGUAUGCUUCUGCAAUGUUUGAAGCUAUUAGCUUUUGGUUUCCUAUUUGAGCCAGGAUAUUAUUUCUUCCCAUAGGUGCUUUUCCUCUUCCUCUUCCUCUAUUAGAAGAAGAACUUCCAAACGGCCGCAUCACUCCUGCUAUUAAGAGACAAAGAGUUAUUAACUUAAAUAUUCUCUAGUAAGAAAAUCGGGAAGACUAUUAUCUGUUCCCUUUUUAUAAUAUAUUUCAAAAUCAAAUGGUGCUAAUAAUUAAGCUUGCCAUCUUUCAAACAUUUGUUUAGAAACAUCAUGUUUUACAUCUUCAUUAAAGAUGAAUUUUGUUGCUUGGCAAUCAGUUUUUAUGAUAAACUUUUGAUUAUAUAAGUCCCCUUGGAAUUUUAAAACACUUUUGACUAUAGCCAAAAUUUCUUUACCUACAGUAGCAUAAUUUUUCUAACUAUUAUUCCAUUUCCCAGAAUAGAACUGUAUAAGGUAUUCUUGCCUUUCAGCAGGAGAAAUUUGUUUUAAAAUUCCCCCUAGCCAAUAUAAGAGGCAUCUGUUUCUACUAUCUUUUGCCAAUUCGGAUUGGCCAAAGUGAGACAUGAUAGGUUAUUAACCUUUGACUUAAUGUGCUUGACUGCUUUAGUAUGAUUAUCAGUACAAGCUUUAGGACUUUUUUUGAGUCUAACAUAUAAUAUAGCCGUGUCUUUAGCUAGAUCCUUUAUAAAAGGAGAAAUAUAAUUUAAGCUUCCCAAGAAUCGUUGGAGCUGAGUUUUAUCAGUAAUAACAUCAGGAAUUUAGAGGCAAACUCAAUACUUCUUUGAAUGGGAAUAAUUUUUCCUUUUUCAAUAUUAUGACCUAAGAAUCUAACCUUGGUUUGGAAAAUAUGCAUUUUUGGUCUAGAUAUAAUCAAACCAUUUUGAAUAAUAAUUUUCUUAAAUAGAUCCAGAUGUUUAAAAUGCAUUUCUAAGGUUUUUGAAAAUACUAAAUAUCAUCGAUAUAUACAAUGAUAAAAUUGCUAAAAGGGUUAAAAAUAUCAUUCAUGAUUUUUUGAAAUUCGGAAGGGGCAUUUUUUAACCCAAAAGGCAUAACAUUCCAUUCAUAUUGUCCCAAUGGGACGUUAAAGGCUGUUUUAUAUUUAUCUUCUUCAGAAAUUUGAAUUUACCAAUAACCUGAUUUCAGAUCAAAUUUUGAAAAUACGAUAGCUUCAUGAAGUCUAUCUAAUAAAUCAUUUUUAUUGGGAAUAGGAUAUCUAAUUUAUUUUAAAACUUUAUUUAAGGGUUUAUAAUUUAAGACAAGUCUGGGUACCCCUCUUUCUUGCUUUGCUUGUUUAUUAACAUAGAAAGCAGUACAAGACCAUGGAGAUUUUGAGGGACUUAUUAAUCCUUUUUGAAGAAGAGUAUCAAUCUCUUUUUUACAUAAAUCCAAAUAUUUUGAGUUCAUUUGGUUAGGUAUUGCCUUAGUGGGAAAAUUAUCUUCAGAAAAUUCUUCCUCAUAAGGAAGACUUACCACAUGUUUUUUCCUUUCCCAAAACACAUUCGGGUGAUCUCCACAUAUUUGUAGGGAGAAUCGAUUCUUUAAAAUAUCAAUUUUUCCUUGGACUUUAGGAUUUUGUAAAGUCUCUUCUAUAGUAAGACUACAAAUCUCAUUUUUAAGAAAAUCAAUUUGUUUAUUUUUUAAAGAAAUCAUAUCUUUAACUUCAUUAAAGAAUUUUCAAAAUGGUUGAGAUAUAAAAUCUGUUCUUAUUUUUCUUUCUUCAAAAGUACCAGUUAUUCCAGUCUCAUCCCAGAGAGUUAUGGGAUAAAUAUGCCAAAAAAAAGGCAUUCCUAAAAUGAUUUCGUUAGAAAUAUAUUCUAUUGCAACAAAACUUCCAGGCAUACAUAUAUUAUUUGUACAUAUAUAUGUUUUAGGAAUUUUAUAUUCAAUAUCCAUUUUAUGACCGCUAGCAUUUCGAAGACUAUGUUUAGUCUUCUUAAAAUAUCUUGAUGGAAUUAAUCCUUCUUGAAUACAAUUUAAAUCAGCUCCACUAUCAAUAAGAGCAAUAAAAAAAAAUUAAGUUAUAAUCAAUAAAAAGAGUUAUUUUUGCCACAGGUUUAUGAGCUGUAAUUAGCUCGAUAGUUUCUAAAAAUAAAUUCUUAUUAUUUGUAGACUCAUUAGGGAUACCAGGAAGAUUAUCUUCAGGAAUAUCAAUGUCACGCCCCAAGCUACCCCUGAGACGCGGACACGGGACCUAGGACCACAAGUGAUCCCAAGCUAACCCUGCUGGCAUGAUCAUGAGCAUACUAAAGAUAAUAAACUAAUGCGGAAGCUAAAAUCAUAAAUAAAAUGAAAAGAUGGGGAAUACCCAUAUACUAUAACUGAGAUAAAUGAAAACUGAUGAGUUUAAUACAAAGAAGAUAUUAACUCAAUACUAAGCUGAAUCUAACUAUGUCUGAAAUAAGCCUCUAAACUGACUAGAAGUGUUGGGACAUGCCCCAACUAAGUCUAGAAAAUCUGAAACUAAAAGACUGAAAACUGAAAGAUGACAUGACUAUUGUCCUCGAAGAAUGAGGACUCACCACUGAUGCUGCUGAACUGGAGAUCGGGAACCGAUCUAAGCGUGAUCUGGAUGCUGGGAACCUGAACCUACAUCACGAGAAGAUGUAGUGCAUGUAUGCGUCAGUACUUGAAAAGUACUGAGCAUGCAUGAUAGAGUAAAGCUGAAAGAACAUAUAACUGAACAAAGCAAUAAAGCAAUGAAAUAAUCUGAACAUGAUAUAGAUACUGAAAAUACUGAAUACUGAGCUAAGUGAAUGCAAUGACCAAUUUAUAACAUGUUGGCUGAUAAUACUGACUGUACUGAAAUAUGGUCAAUGCAAUAGAGUCUGACUGAACUGUGGGAGCUACUNNNNNNNNNNNNNNNNNNNNNNNNNNNNNNNNNNNNNNNNNNNNNNNNNNNNNNNNNNNNNNNNNNNNNNNNNNNNNNNNNNNNNNNNNNNNNNNNNNNNNNNNNNNNNNNNNNNNNNNNNNNNNNNNNNNNNNNNNNNNNNNNNNNNNNNNNNNNNNNNNNNNNNNNNNNNNNNNNNNNNNNNNNNNNNNNNNNNNNNNNNNNNNNNNNNNNNNNNNNNNNNNNNNNNNNNNNNNNNNNNNNNNNNNNNNNNNNNNNNNNNNNNNNNNNNNNNNNNNNNNNNNNNNNNNNNNNNNNNNNNNNNNNNNNNNNNNNNNNNNNNNNNNNNNNNNNNNNNNNNNNNNNNNNNNNNNNNNNNNNNNNNNNNNNNNNNNNNNNNNNNNNNNNNNNNNNNNNNNNNNNNNNNNNNNNNNNNNNNNNNNNNNNNNNNNNNNNNNNNNNNNNNNNNNNNNNNNNNNNNNNNNNNNNNNNNNNNNNNNNNNNNNNNNNNNNNNNNNNNNNNNNNNNNNNNNNNNNNNNNNNNNNNNNNNNNNNNNNNNNNNNNNNNNNNNNNNNNNNNNNNNNNNNNNNNNNNNNNNNNNNNNNNNNNNNNNNNNNNNNNNNNNNNNNNNNNNNNNNNNNNNNNNNNNNNNNNNNNNNNNNNNNNNNNNNNNNNNNNNNNNNNNNNNNNNNNNNNNNNNNNNNNNNNNNNNNNNNNNNNNNNNNNNNNNNNNNNNNNNNNNNNNNNNNNNNNNNNNNNNNNNNNNNNNNNNNNNNNNNNNNNNNNNNNNNNNNNNNNNNNNNNNNNNNNNNNNNNNNNNNNNNNNNNNNNNNNNNNNNNNNNNNNNNNNNNNNNNNNNNNNNNNNNNNNNNNNNNNNNNNNNNNNNNNNNNNNNNNNNNNNNNNNNNNNNNNNNNNNNNNNNNNNNNNNNNNNNNNNNNNNNNNNNNNNNNNNNNNNNNNNNNNNNNNNNNNNNAUAAUUCAAUUAUCUAUCAUAUAAUAGGUCAUGGGACACACAAUUACUUUUGUGCUAAAAGUUAUGACCAUCUGAAGUUGACCCAUCAAUAGUUUUCAGCUAACUAGCUGCUGACCCUCAUCUACGGUCAGACCUACGGACCGUGGAUCGAAUGAUGGUCCGUGCUGGUCGACCAUAGUUCAUGUCGAUCCAUGGUCACAGACCACGGACUGUGGUCUGAUCUACGGACCGUGAGUCGGGACUUAGCUAAUUUUUCUGAGCUGGUUUGGGGAGGGGUUGCAGUGGUGAACCACGGACCACCAGCACGGGCCGUGGUCUGACCUACAGUCCGUGGAUGGUGACCGUAAGUUGCACCUGCAACUUCUCAAAAUCUGCAUUUUUGGUCUGUUUCGGAUACGAGGUGUUACAAUCAGGAGGAUUACCUUCAACCAUAACAUGUUUCCCAUGAUGAUUAUUGUCUUCAUUUUCUAUAUAAGUGAUUCUCUCAUCAAGAAUCAUAUUAUGAUUUUUGAGAGAAGAUAUUUCUUUUUUAAGAUUAUUAAUCUACUCAACCAAGUCUUGAAUUGUAGUAGGAAUAUGAUCCCUUUGAGACCUAAGUUUUAGCUGUCUCUUUACUUCUCCCAUGGUAUAAGCAUUAUUAUGAGCGGGAUUUUCUUUCGGAAUCCUAGUAUUACUAGUAGAGGUUUCUUGUAUUACCAAUUUUUUCAAUAAUUUGGGACCUUAACGUUGGAUCAUCAAUCAUCCUGAGCAUCUCUACCCAAUUAUCAUUACUUAUAACAUUGAUAUUUAAGUCCUUGAACUGAGAAUACAACUGAUAGAAUUCGUCCUUAUCUUUAUUAUCACAAGGUUGGCCAAUCUAGCAAGACGUACAUUCUUCCUCAGAUGAGGACAUGUAGUCUUCUUCAUGAAGAACCUUUAGAUCUUCACUUGUAGAGGAUUUCUCUCCGUCACUAUUGUUAGGGCUUGAAUUUUCCGAAGAAGAAUUGAGGAGGAUUUUAUAUAAAGAAUCCUUAAUAUUAUCCUCUAGGUCAAGACUUUUAAUCUUAUCCUUGACCUUGCAAUCCCUUGCAUAAUGACCUAUUAUACCAUAUUUGUGGCAGGCAUUUGAUUUAUUAUUCUUAUAAAACUCCUUUUUCCCUUUAUAAUCUUUUUUUUUCACGUUUGUCUAAGCGUUUCUUUUUUCUGUACUGCCUAUGGGGCUUUUCCUUAUAAUCUCUUUUUCCUCGAUGCCUAUUAGACUUCUUAGAGGAUUCGGGCAUAUCGAUUGCGAAUUGUUCACAAAAUUCCCCUAAUUGUUAUUUCUCAUUCAAAUGAUAUAUUUUAAUUUAUUGAUUCAACUUGAUCUCGUUGCACAAUGAGAGACCUUCUUGGGUGCAAACACUUAUAAGUUUUCCAUAAGUAUAGUCAUCAUAAUUAAUACUCACCCAUCUUCUCUAAGGGUUUUCCUAACCCUUUCUGCAAAUAAAGCAGGGAGUCCGUCUAUAAACUUGGAUUUCCAAUGAGAGUUAUUACACUCAGGUAAUUCCAUAACUCUAGAUAGAAAAACAUCAUUGUACCAUCUAAAGGACGUAAGAGUUUUACAUCUAAGGUUUUGGAGCAUAGUCCUAAUGGUUUCACUAUUAUCCGACCAUCUUCCAGAAAAAUGUUCUAUAAUGGUUAGGAUCAAGUUGUAGACUACAUUUGGAAUCAUUCCAUUUUCAUCCUUAACAGCAUUUAAAAUGGCCAUACGUUGGGAUUCUGAGAGCUAAUUAUCCCACCAACCCUUUAAUUGGCCUGUAAAUCCGACAAUAAUCAUGUUGGUUGUAUCCUUUCCAGAAUUCUUGUUUGCCUUGCAGAUCGUACUAUACAUAAAAAUUCUAUGAGCCAGGGUAUAAAUUGGCCUAUCAGUAAAACCAUCAAUAUUCCACUCAUAAAUUUCUAUCCUGCUAAAACUAUUGGAGACGUAAUAUUCUUGCUCUUCCAAGAGAAUAUCUUGAGGAGUCGGCCUAGGAUAGUAAUACAUCCUUUCAACCGGUUUUUUAGCAUGUUUCUCCGAGAUUUUAUUAAUCUCAUAUGGAAUAUUAUUCCUAUCACUGAUAUCACUUUCACUUAGUUGGAGGGGAUUAAUAUUUAACCCCUGAAACCUUUCUUGAAGCAAUCUUUCGAUAUUAUCAAGCUUUGAUAAUUUAAAGUCUUUAAUUUCUAAAGGGGGUUGGAUAGUAGGAGUAGCCUUCUCCUUUCCUUUAACAGGGAUUUUAGACUUCUCUAAUUCAGAAUAUAAAUGACUAAUUUUAUCAUGUAAAGAAAGAAUAUGCUCUCCUAAAAUGCUCACAUAAACAUUUGUGUAAUUAUUUUGUCGUAUUAAAGUUUUGACAUGCUUAAAAGUAAUAAGAGCAGUGUCAUUAUCAUCAAACAACUCUGCAAAUGCAGUAAAAUAUACAAUCUUAUUAUCUUUUUCAAUUUGAAAAGAUUGCUGAGGAGGUAGGAGAGAUUUGGUAAUUGUACCAUCAGAUAAUUUAUAAUCUUGUUCUAACAUAGAAAUAUAGUUAUAAACAUAUUUCGUCAUAAACCAUGGUACAAAAGCAAUAGCUUUAUUUGCUUUAGAAAGAUCAUUAUAAAAAUCUUCUUGGAAGAAUGUUUGUUGAUUAUUAUCAAAAAAUUUGAAAAACCAUUUUCUAAAUGAUUCCCAUUUGGGCUGGAAAAAUUCAGUUGAAAUUUGCUUUCUUACUGGCGACCCCGAUCUAAAAUCAAUAAGUUCUGAUCUAUUCAUGUAAACCAUUUGGAAAGUCCAUUUCAGACAAAGUAGGGUCCAUAUCAGGAGUAAUUAUAUGAUUUUCAAUCUUGAUAUUAUCAACUCUCUUUCCUUCUUUCAUAUAAGAAGUGGAUACUCUAAAAUUAUCUUCUUCUCUAAUCUGAGAAGUAGACGCUCUAGAAGGCAUAUCAACAAUAUAAUCAACAGGAGAUAUAUAAGAUGAGUUAGAUCUAAGCAUCCUUGAAGGAAAACCUAAAUUAUCAGCAUAACUCAUUAAUAAAUUUUGGUCAGUGAAUUUGAUCCUCACUAUCCCAUCAAGAGUUUGCUCAAUAUCAGAAAUAUCAGGAUUUAUAUUAGUUUUAGGUGGGACUGUCUCUUCGAUCACCCAUUCCUUAGGAAAAUCAAUUUCAUCCCAUUUAAUAGGUCUUCUAGUUAUAACUUUAGACUUACUAAAAUUUGUUUCUAUCAAAAUUGUUUCAUUUUUAAAAUUCAUAAUUUUACACAUAGGAUUUAAAGUAUAUAAUGGCUUUUAAAAAUGAAACAAUUUUGAUAGAAACAAAUUUUAAGCAGAUAGACCCUUGACUUAAGCAGAUCAAGAAAAGGGAAGAUUUACAGAACCGUGACAACAAAUCCAAAAAAGAUCUUACUUUUUCAUAAAAUUCAUAUCUUUAUAAAUUAAUUUUCAUAAACACAAAGCAUGUUAAAGAAGAUUACCGCAAAAUGUCGGCACAACUGGGGCAGAACCUGAUGAUCAGAAAGCACAGUCAAAGAAAACUUUUGGAUGAAUCAAACUACAUUGAUAAGAUUUAUCAUCUAUGUAUAAAAGUUUCAACCAAAAGGGAAACACACAUAUACAUAUAUUUAAUCAAGAGAAAAAAACUAGAGAAUUUUGGGAGAUUAAUUUCACACCUGCGAUUUGUCCUCACAGCAAUUCUAAAGCUUCUUGUACUUGUUACUUCACCAAAACAUUUCUUUUAGGGCAUUUCAUCAAUAUUUAAGGAGAUAAACAUAUCAAGAUUACUGCAAUCUAAAAUUUUUAACAAUAAGUAUAAUACAAACAAAAAGUUUAAAAUGUACUGAGUUGUGCUACCUUACCCUUCCAAAACACAGAAAAUUGUUUUGAGGUUUCAAAGUCGAAGAGGGAGUGAUCGAAGUGAUGAAAAGGAAAAGGUUCCAAAGCUCCAUUCUUUAUUUUUUUUCCUUAUUUGUAGAGACCAAUUGCUUUCAUAUUUGAUGGCCAAGUCGAGUAAGAUACUCCCUAAUUAAGACGACUUCGUAUCUACGAGAGAUAAAUUUGCUCUACCUUUUUUUAUGAAUACAGCGUAUAGAUAGACAGUAUACCAUACAUCAUCAAUUUGAAGGACAAACCUACAAACAAAAAAAAGUAGGAUAUGAGAACCUAUAGAUAUUAUGAAAAGGUAGGAUAAGAAAAUUAUUAGAUAAUUUAUUUUUUUGGUCGAACGAACACAUUUUAUUCAAAAACAUCCAGAGUAUCAUUACAACAUCUCAUACAACUAGUCUCAAACUGAUCAAAAACCUAUACAAUUCAUCUUGUUUAGUUUGAUAUUUUCCCUGUAUUGAAUGCCUAUCGUUUGCACACAAGUUUGUGAAAAUAAAUGUUCUAUUUUUUCAGGAUGAUCACCACAUAACAAGCAUAAUGUAUCCUGGCACAUAUGGAUGCAUAAUCUUUUAACUGAAAUUGGAUUGAAACACCAUACACCAUCAAACCUUUGGUGUGAUAAUCAUGUUGUUCUUCAUAUUGCAUCGAAUUCGGUGUAUCAUGAAAGAGCUAAACAUAUUGAGGUUGACUGUCAUUUCAUUCAUUAUAAGAUUCAGGAAAACUUGAUUUCCACCGGCUAUGUGAAGACCGGAGAGCAACUAGCUGAUUUGUUCACAAAAGCACUAAAUGGAGCUCGAGUUAAUUAUCUAUGUAACAAGUUGGGCAUGAUCAAUAUUGUUGGAAUGUAUGCGUCCACCAGUCACCAAGUGACCAGGUCCCUUCGACAGAAUAACAGUGCAGAAAGUAAAUAUCACAAUGUAAAACAGGCACAAGAGUUUUACGUGGAAACCUCUUUGCUCAAGGGAGUAAAACCACGACCUGUCACAUAGGAUUUCCAAACUUGUUUUCACUAAUCUUCUCAAGCAAAAGCAAAACACAGUUUACAACCACAACCGUGAGAUUAACACCCUAAUCCCACACUAAGUAAUACUCUUAUUACUUAAACGAGCCAAAGCAGAUACAACACUGCCCACUAAGCUAUCACCCCUAGAUAACUUAGACUUUGCUAAGCGGUUACCACACCGCCCACUAAAUCAACUAGCUCCUAGAUGACUUAGAAUUUGACUAAAGCAGCAAAAACAAUGUUGCCCACUAAAACCAGUUAAACUCAAACUGAUUUAGACUUUAGAAACCGAAACAAAUAUCUGAAUCCUUUAUAAACUAGGAACAAAUUUACAAUAUACGCACGGAAGUAUAACUCCUAAGACACACUCUGAUGCUUGCAGCUUGAUCAGGUCCUUGUUAUUCUUGCCGGAGAAUACUUCUUGAAAGUGAGUCUUUGCAAGUGUUCUUGAGAAUUUUCAAGUUGCAAAAACUGACAAAACUCAAACUCAACAAAGACGCUUCAGCACUCUAUCAGGUCCCUUUGUUGAGCAUGAGUAUUGUUCUUCCUUGAAGAUGGCCUUCUUUUAAAGCUUAUGAAUUUUCAAAAGAAAAUCCAAGUUUUUGUUUGCCAAGUCUUGAGUUUGUGUUUUGUGUUGAGAGAUUGUAUUAAAAUGAACACAAACUCCUUGGGACCUCCCAUUGGCUGAGAGCCUGCUGUUUAGAAAAGUUGUGCACCUACCACAUCAGAGGUGGCAGCUUUUCUGACAGGUGUCUUGUCACCUUUUCAUAUCGCAGUCUUGCAGGGACCAGGUCCCUUGCAAACUUUUCUUAAUGAGUUCUUGAGAAGACUUGCUGGUUCUCUUCCUUUUUGAAUGAAUGAAUUUAAUAUGUUGUUUGUCAUGUUGAAAAACCAACCAUAAAGAGUUAUUAACCGUUGGACAAACGACCUCUUCCAUUUUGAUUGGUUAAGUACGAUGUCAUCUCACCAACCACUAACAGACAGCUUUACAGUUGUAUCCCAUUAUGCAUCUGAUGGAGAGAACUCUGCAUGGAACCAGGUCCCUACAUUUGUGAGCCACUGAAACAAACAGUCUCGUUUGCUCUUCCUAUUGGUGCAGUACACUACAUUUUUCACCUAGCACCUGUCAUGAAAGCUUUACAGUUGUACCCCAUUUGAAUCUGGACGAGAGCACUCUGCCAGGGACCAGGUCCCUGCAUUUGUGAGGAUCAUCAAAAACACCUAGAAUAUAACAAAUAUCUAUCCUCCCGCUUGAGGGGUAGUGUUACAGAAUAUUGUAGGAUAUUGUAAAGAUAUUCUCUUACUUUAUAUAGCUAGCUAAAUCAUAAAAAGAUGUGUAGGAUAUUUACUUACCUUUGAUAGAACCUCUAGUGAUUGUAUAUUUACAUGUAUUUCUUAACAUAGUGAAAUACAAGUUCUUCUAUUCCCAUAUUUCAAAUAACACAAAAAGGAAUAUCUCCUAGAUGUAUGCUCAAGAUUGAUAUGCAAAAGGCAUACGACUUAGUAGAAUGGCCCUUUCUUGAACAAAUCCUUUCUAGCUUAAACUUCCCUACUAUUUUUGUGGAUGCGUAACUAAUGUUUCAUACGCUAUAAUCAUUAAUGGAAAAUUGUCUAAAUCAUUCCCUGCAAAGAAAGGUCUCCAGCAGGGUGAUCCUCUAUCUCCAUACUUGUUUGUGAUUUGUAUGGAAUAUCUUAAUAGACUGUUCAAAGGCCUCGGAUGUGAUCCUGAUUUUAACUUCCAUCCUAGGUGUGGGAAGUUGAAAACUGUCCAGUUAGGCUUUAGGAAUAUGAUCACAGUAAGAUUGAGCAGCAUCCGUUAGAAGAACAAUCUAUAACAUCAGAUGCUAUCACACUGCUGGUCCCUUGGUAUGCUCUUAAUGAUAUCCAAAUCACCUGAGUUCGAUAAAGAGAAUGGAAAAGGGUUAGAAAUGCCCUUAUAAACUAUGAGAGAUUGAACAAAAAUGUUCUCUGCUGCUGUUCAGUUUUGCAUAGUUUAACUGCAUUUUUUACCCUUUUCCAUAAAAAGAAACUACUUCAAACAUCAAAACAAAAAUCCACAUUCAUUCUACUAUUAUGAUUUAUUGAUCAGACCAUUACAUUUGUUAGUCAAUUGAUCUCAUCUAGCAAUGCUUAUUUUUUGUUGCAUUUCAUCUCACUGCUCAUUCUUAGAAACAAUAACAAACUAAAAACCUAGUCAUUAUGCUGGUGUUUAUGCAUUUUAAUAUUAAAAUUAAAAUAUUAUGUGCAUAUAUUAGUGGGUAUAAAUUGACAAGAAUGUGGUCAUUAUAGUGGUGUAACUCUUGUAACCACUAUUGUCAUGAUCUACCACUAACUCCACUCUUUAUUCUACCUCAUCAUACCUUGUAACUUAUGUAACCUUUGGGCUAUUCAUUUACCCAAUUUACUACCCAUUAUCUUCCUAUUCAUUGUAAGGAAGAAUUUAUCACCUAUAAAUAGUGAUGGUCUUCCUUUGUUAUGGGAGUAGAUAUGUACAUGUGAAAAAUUGGAAGAAAGAUGACAAGUGUAAAAGAUAUUGUAGUGUGUAGUAGUGAAAGAGAGAGUUGAGUAAAAAAAAAACUAUUCUAAGUCUUCAACUAUAUUCACUAUAUAAAAGAGAGUUAUUUUAUAUGUUGAAGGAAGGUGUUCUUAUGUGUAACUUUGGACUCUUCAACUAAUCCAGACUUGCUUGAGUUGUACGACGUUGUUGGGCUGUUGUAUCCUGAAGGGGACAAGUCAAGAGUGAUACUGCUGGAUCGGUGUAGAUUAUGUCGCAGUGGGCUUAAAUCUCCUUAAAGAGAACGAGAUAUCUGCGUCGCAUCCUAAAGAUUUGUUUAUUCAUUUUUGUCAUUUUAUUUUCAACUUUAAUUUAUUGCAUUUGUGGUAUAUUACACCAACACAUUCCGAAUGUCGUAACAUUAUAAGCCUUUGGCAGGCAACCAUAUCCAAAGGAGGCAUGAGUUUAAAAAACAAUUGAUUCAUUUUUUUUGGAAUUCUGUAUAAUUCAUAAUCGUUUUUCUUUGUUAAGUUCCCGAAGAUCAAACACCCGCAACAAGGAUGCAUAUCUCAUAGUCAGACAAAUGAUACUGCUGAUCUUGUAUAUAUCCUGCCAAUCAUGCACAUACACAUACACAAUGUGUAUGUAUAGAUACAGAUCUGGAGAGAUUCUUGAGAUUUUCUUUGCUGCAACCAUGGUGGUCUCUGGCCUGGUGGAAUGGAUUCAAAGAAACUUGGAAGAAACAAAUGCAUCGACGGUGGUAUGAAGUUUUCCCCUAUAUCUACUACUACAACAUACACAGUAUAGCCAUAGUAUUGCUCUUGUAUUUUCUUGUUCUUCGAUUUUUGUUACUAUUUGUUAAUACCUUGUACCUCGAUCAUCAUAUUGUUUUGUUGUAGUUUAUGUCAUGUGUUACUAUCUGUUGUUAUUGUUAUUAUCUAUUUUUCUUGUACUUCCAUUACUUUUUUUUCUGGACUGCUUUGGACUAUUUUUCCUUAAGCCAAGGGUCUAUCAGAAACAACCUCUCGACGUCUAAGGUAGGGGUAAGGUCUAUUUUUUUCUGGACUGCUUUGGACGCCAGUAAUUCAUCUCUUCAUCGUUACGAGAUAUUCUUUGAAACAUAAUAUCUUACUAUCUCAACAAAUGCCCUAAAGCAUUCAAUAAAUCUUCUGCAUUAGUUCAUGGCAGCUUUGGUUUUAGAUAUUGUAUUGCUGUUUGAUUCUCAUUCGAGAUAUCUUUUCACUUCGGUGUUGAUAACAAAGUGAUCUUCUGUCCUUUAUCCUUCCAGUCUUUGACCAUUGAUUUGAUUAUCCAACUUCAACAGGUCAUGGAUAUUGUUGUUUUAAAUUGAGUGAAAACCAAAAAAAAGAACAAAAGAGCACUUAUGAAUAUACAGGAAUAAAGAUAGUAAAAAGGGACUGAAGAACUAGAAAGAAGAGAGCUUGUGAAUUUGAAGUGGAAAGUUCAAUUUUAUUUCACUACAUUAGACUUACAUAUAUAAUUAGGAACUAACUUUAUGGACCUAAAGAUCAGCAACAAAUCUGCUGAAGAUAAAACAAACUCCUAAAGACUAGGUAAAGAAGUUAUUUGAGGAAAACUAAAGCUAAUUUACUGCAGUAAAUAAAUAAAAGGUUGCAGUCCUAAAAUAUAACUAACAAUAUAUAUAUCUUGACCAAUUUUCAGGCCAGCAAGCUUUUAGAGCCUCAAAAGUUGCUGAUGUAAGUUAAAAUCAUUGCUUAAUUACUCCAUUAUGUGUCUGCUCUCUGUAUGCCAAUCUUGCUUUGAUGAGGGAGAUGAUCAUCAUCAUGAGAAAUGAAUUCAAGUGAUGGAGACUGAAUGCAUUACUUGCUGAACUCUUUGGUUCCUCCGAGUAUUUUCACAUACUGUAAUUACUUACAGAUUCUCAACGCCUCGGGAAACUGGUCGAGAUAGAUGACAGCACCUUUUUUGCCUCUUCCUUAUCUAUAGGACAAUCUUCUAUUCUGGCCUUCACCUUCUGCACCAGAGAACUAGACUGCAAAGAAUGUAGACAGAGAUAGAAGGGAAAAGAAGUGAACAUUUAAGAACUAUCUUUGCCAAAUGAUUAUUUAGCUAGUCAGAUGACGAAAUGCUUUUAUUAGCAACUUCAACGCGAUCUUUUUUUUGUGAUGCUAUUGAUUUUUUGUUAGGUGAUGGAGGUCAAAGCUUGCAGUCAGAAAGAGAAAAGAAUUUUUAGUGAUCGUCACUCGAAAGCAAAGCCUUUUAAGAAAGUAGUUGGAGAUGGAAGUCAAUCACAAACACACACUUCAGCAUUGUACUUGGAUGUUGAAAAAGUGGAAGACAUACACCAGAAAGAAUUUCAAUGCUUGCUAUCCCCCAAGUUGACAUUUUAGAUUUAGAUAUAUAGAUAUAGAGUCGCCUGAAGAGUUUCCAAUGCUUGUGGUUGCUUUGCUUUUGAGUUGUCAUCCAAGCAGACUUAACCUGCAAUCAACAAGUGAAAUGGUUACAGUUUCAUGGAUUGUUUGAUGUAUACGAAGAAUUCGAGUUAGUGUACUUCUCAUGGAAGCAAACCUAUCCAUAGCCAAUUAAAAGAAGUAGAAGCCUACAAAUUUGAUCGAAAAAUCCUGUGGAACUCAAAAGUUGGAAGCUAGCACAAAGGAGCCUUUCAAAGAGGGUGAAAUUAUAUAAUUUUUUUAGAUUGGUGAUUAGUGAUAUAGUUAAUUACUCUCUUAAGUUUUGUAAUCUUUUGGUCAGGAUACAUUGUUUCUAACUAUCAUUUCACUGGUGUUGUUUAUUUAAGUCAAAAAAUUACCGAGCAGUAUCAAGAUUCCAAUAUAUUUUUGUAGAAAUGUGGAUUUGAAGGUUUGUGAUCAGAUAUAUCAAUUGUUUUCAAUCCUUGAAGGAGUUGACUCUAUUUUGAGGUUGGCAUUAUGAUAUACACACGAUGUUCAAUAUACUCUUCUUCUCCCUUUCUUCCUCUUCCUCGCGUUACAGAUUCAACAUCUCGGAGCUCACUUGCUCCUUCAUGUGAUGAAUAUUGAGAUCUUCUACUUAGCGGAGUCACAUUGAAGGCAUCAUCUCAGCACCCCUUUCUUUUCUAGUGUAAUGAGGCCCUAAAUAGAUGUCCCUGGACCUGGUUCUGCUGCUUUUAGAGAUAAAGAGAAGAUGUAAUACUUCACUCUGAGCCAUUUAGUACAAAAACUAGCAAAAAGGGUUGAUUUGUUUUUGUCGUAGAUCGACAAAGGAAAAACUGAAAAUCAGUUGUCACUCCUACUGGAUCAUAAAAGGGAACGAUGGUCUAUGGUUCAACAUUUUGCACCUUGACAAGCUUUUAAUUACCUUUUGAAGAAAGAUCAAAUACUAAAAUAAGAAAACAGAAUUAGCGAACUUCGAGAUUUCAAAUUUCAUCCUAUGUGUAAGGAGCAAAAACUGACUCACUUGAUAUGUGUAGAAGUCCUGAUGAUUUUCUGUAAAGGCGAUAUAAGGUCCAUCCAGAGAGUUAGAGAAGCCUUGGAGCACUUUAGUGAUACCACUGGUUUAAUGACUAAUGUGGAGAAAUACAAUAUUUUUCUAGCCGGGAUCAGUGAUGAGCUAAAGAAGGAGAUACUUGACAUGACAGGAUACUCUCAAAGAAAUGGGGCAAGAUGGAAUGCCACCAACUUGUGGAGAAGAUUACAGAUAUGGUGACUAAUACUUAUGCUAGGAAGCUCUCUUAUGCAGGAAGAUCACAAAUAGUCAAUGUUGUCUUCUUUUCAAUAUUUAACUUUUGGGGUGCAGUUGUUAUCUUACCUCAAAGUGUACGCAAGGCAGUUGAUAGAAAAUGCAAAGAUUUUGUAUGAGGAAGUACUGCAGAUCAGAAAAAGUCACCUUUUGUUGCUUGGGAUUAGUGUGCCUCCCAAAGAAAUUUGGGGGACUAAAUGUUAAGGGAUGUAGGAAAUGGAAUGAAGCUUCAGUUGGCAACUAUUGUUGGGUUUUAAACUUCUUUAAUGGUUAAUCCGUUUUAUCUUGAGAGGAAUUAAUCUACAACCUCGGGUACUUGAUGGGAUUAAAUUUCUUAAGGAUACACAGUGAGUUCUAUGGACUCAGAUUGUUCUUUUCUUUUUCUUUUUAUUUUUUAUUAUUUCUAGUUUGUUAAUCUAAAUACAGGAAAUAACAACUAUGACAGGUUUCAGAGAAGCAAGACAUUCUCUGGGUAAAAUGGGUGCAUGGAGUGUACAUAAAGCAACACGGCAAUAUCCAGGGUGGAGCCACCUUAUAAUAGGGGGUUCAUCCAAACCCCCUUCGGUGGAAAAUUAUCUUAUUUAUACAUGGUAAAAAUAUUUUUUUAUGUAUAUAUAGUCGAUGUUGAACCCCCUUCGGCUACUUUGUCUGUUUAUUUCUACAGAUUUGAACCCCCUUAUUAAAAAUACUGGCUCCACCACUGUCUAGGAUCACUGAUAUUGGUCUCUUAGUCUCAAGUUUCCAUUCAUUUUGAUAAAGAUAUUAAGUUCAGAGGGAAAGAUUUGCAACUACAACACACAGUUGCUAUCCCCCCAAGUUGAUGGUUUAGAUUUAGAUCUAGAUAUAGAGUCGCCUGAGGAGCCGCCAAUGCUUGUGGAUGCUUUGCUAUGGAGUUGUCAUCCGAUGAGACUUAACCUGCAAUCAAAAAGUGAAAUGGUUACAUGCUUUAUGUAACACUUGAUGUAUAUGAUGAAUUUGAGUCAGUCUACUUCUCAUGGAAGUAAGCCUAAGCAUAGUCAACAGGCAAUGACUCCAUUUCCUUCCAACACACAGUUGCCAUACACAACCACUUUGAAAGUCCUCACGGGCCAGUUCAUUUGUGAGAUCGAUGAUAUGAGGAAUAGCCACAACCUAGUCCCUCAAAAGAGUUUGAAGAUAGACAAAAUCCUGCUCACUAAGGCAGACUAAGAGAAAAUAAAGAAGAGCAAUACUGUCUAGCAUAAUGGAAUAAGUUUUCAAAAAAACAGGUGCACUAUCAAGAUUAAUAGCCAUCUGGAUGCCACCAAAUCAGAACAUCUGAUCUGUGAACAGGUCAUCAGUAUCAAAAAUGCCUUCAUCAUCAACGGGGGUGUUAGAUGAGGGGGCAAAGGGAUGUAAAUAAGGAGGAGCCGCCUCUACAGCUGCAUAACUGGAAGUUGGUGCUUUCCCAACAUCAAAAAUGGAACUAAUAUCAUUGUCUACAUCCAUGGGCUCAGCGAGUAAUGCUUCUAGAUCACUCCCAAUUCUAGUGAUGGGAUGACUGUAAGUUCCACUUCUAGCAGCAGUAACAUCCUCCUGCUCCAUCAUUAGGUCAUCAAUGCCUGAAAAGAACUCAACAUUUACAUCAGGAAUCAGACUAUUUAUUCCAUUGAUAAAUGCAGCAUUAUGGCCUGAGGACUCACCUUCAGCAACUGUUAUCAUCUGCUGCUCAGCAUUGGUACUUUCUUGAGGCAACAUGCUCUCAUUACUAGUGUUUGGCACUACUUGUGAUCCUCCACAAGCUGGCCCAAUCAUAUCCUCGGUGUUUGGAACUUGGGAAGUUCCAGCAGCUUCAGCAUCCACACUGGUAAUAUCAAGAAUGCUUGCUCUUCUAUUCCCUUUGUUGGCAGCUUCGAGGCGCUUGUAAAAUUUCUGGGCAUGGCUCGCCACCUGCAUUCCAGUUCUUGUAAUCACACAGUGCCUAGAUAUACUUCUCCAGUCACCUCUUCCAUAUAUAGCUAAGCCCCGGAGAAAUGACCUAUAGCAGGAAAGAUAGAGAAAUAAGUUAAUAUCAGCUUUGAAGUUAUAAUCCAGGAAACAAGAUUGCAGGACAGCAAAAAUUUUACUUUUACUCAGCUAACCACACACUACAUCUUAUAAAGCCCAGAGGCAAAUAGGUAUGAUUCUAUAGAUAUAUUUAUUGCCUUCAGCAUGCACUGUGUAAAAUCACAGACAACACCCCCACCCCCACCCCCACCCCAAAAAUAAAAUCACCAUUCGUAUUUUCUUUUCCCAAAAAGAGGAAGGGACUUAAAUUCAUGGGAUAACAAAUGUCCUCCUUUGGAUAUGUGACUCCCAACAUUUGCUGAAUUUUCCAAUGCCCACUUUUUUUCGCCUCAUUGGUAUAUGCACUCACUUCAAGUAUAUGUGCUAUUGUUUUUAUUGCUAAUCACUUCAACUAUAUGUGUUUUUUAGCUUCUCAAACUGAAAUAGGAUAUCAAACAGAAAGUGAGAAAUAUCAAGAAAACAAGAAGAAGAAUUCUACAGGAAACCCACCUAUGUUCCUGUUCUGUCCAAGGAGUCCCUCUUCGCCUUUCGACGUCUGCUUUCAAAUUUUGGUUGGCAUUGCUUUGCAUUUCCGGAUAAUUAUGUAAUGGAACGCAUCCAGAAUCGAUGGCAUUGAUAUCUUCUAAGAGUAUAUUAUAGUGAUCCUUGAUGUCCUGAAGUGAUUUUUGAGGAAGUGCUUCUUCCAUCAUCCUCAAUAGAUUGUUUUUGUUGAAGUAGAUCGCUAGGGUGUUCUCAAAGAUUUUAUCCUCUUCCCUAGUCCAAAAGGAGCUAUUGCAUGUCCUAUCGGUGCUCAUUUUCUUUUAGAUCUACAAGGGAAGGCUCAAGCAUGAAAAAGGGAAGUUCGGAUUCAGAAAACGGUUGAGUGUCAAUAUAUGACAAACAACCAUAACUACCAGGCAUCUAUAAUAAGAUUUUUUGUAACCCCUGACAAUUAGUAAACAGAAACAAUCGCAGCAAUACAUGUAUUCUAUUAAAUCAGUUAUAAAUACUAAGAGAAGUAAUAAGUGACCGGAAAAACGAACAAACAUGAAGAUACAAUUGGUAUACUACCCACAGAAGUCCCCAGAGAUACGAGCAUUUUAUAAAAGCAUCUACGUUCUUUACCUUUUCUAUCGGAUGGAAGGUUUUAUAAUAAGAAAGAAAGUACAAAGAAGAAAAACUAUGUCUCAAGAUAAGAAAAAAUUAUACCACUGAAGUAUAUAUUUUUGUUCUUGUUAGUGACGCAAAAAAAAAAAUUGUGGCCUUGUACCACAUAACGGGAAAGAAAUUAUGUCAAUCCAACAUUAUAUUAUCAAAAGAAAAGGAAAAACCUAGAUUGUCUUGUAACACAAACUAACCACUUAAAACUAGGGAACGUGCAAAGACAAAUUGUGAUAUCCAGGACAAGAAAUCAAAAGGAAAGCUAAAAAAUUCUUAUUUUUCCUUUUUGAGAAACACGCAAAUCUCUACACAUUAACUUUCAACAACAGAAAGCAUGUUAAAGAAGAGUCCUUAGAAAAUGCUGACACAAUUUUUCUCUCAUGAGUCAUGAGAUAGAAACAAGAUGAAUCUCAUGACAUUCAAAUAGGUGAGUAUCACUUCACAUCUCUUCAGAAUCUACCCCAAAACCAAUAUAUAAUCAACCAUCUGUGAUUGUAUGUACAUUCUCUUGUGCCAUUAUUACCUUUAUACAUCAUGAAAUAGCAAAUUAUUGUUCAUUUUGAAUGGAAGAUUUACGGAACCAACAACAACAAAAUACCGAUGUAAUCCCACAAGUCAGGUUUGGAAGAUUUAACUUUGUACGUAGAGCACAGAGACUAUUUCCAAUACACACUCGGCUCAAGGAAAAACAUACCAAAGCAGAUCGAAUAAGGGAAGAUUUACAAAACCAACAACAUACCAGAGUGAAAUUCCACAAGUAAGAUCUUGGGAGGAUAGUGUGUAUGUAGAGACCUUACCUCUACCUUAAGAGGUAGAGAUGCCAUUUUUUAUUGACACUCGACUCAAGGAAAAGCAUAGUAAAGAAGAUCGAAAAAGGAAAGAUUUACAAAAGCAUGACAAAAAAUCGAAAAUGGAAAGCCAUAAAAGAUCUUACUUCAAAGAAAUAAUCAUAUCUCUAAAAGUUAACUUUCAUAAACACAAAGCAUGUUAAAGAAGAGUACCAAAAAACGCCGACGCAACUAGCAGAACCUAAUGAUCACAAACCACAAUCAAAGCAAACUUCUGAGUGAUCGAUCUAUAGUGAUAAGUUGUAUUACCUAUGAAAACAUGCAUUCAACCAUAAGGGAAUCUCACAUACAC